Molecule: ribosomal RNA, 434 nt
Filed under: uncultured Ruminococcus sp.
Lineage: Bacteria; Bacillati; Bacillota; Clostridia; Eubacteriales; Oscillospiraceae
Description: partial 16S ribosomal RNA
Rfam family: Bacterial small subunit ribosomal RNA
Source: RNAcentral
ACGGGAGGCAGCAGUGGGGAAUAUUGCACAAUGGGCGCCAGCCUGAUGCAGCGAUGCCGCGUGAGGGAAGAAGGUUUUCGGAUUGUAAACCUCUGUCAUCGGGGACGAUAAUGACUGUACCCGAGAAGGAAGCUCCGGCAAACUACGUGCCAGCAUCCGCGGUAAUACGUAGUGAGCGAGCUUUAUCCGGAAUUACUGGGUGUAAAGGGAGUGUAGGCGGGACUGUAAGUCAGAUGUGAAAUAUGCCGGCUCAACUGGCAGACUGCAUUUGAAACUGCGGUUCUUGAGUGAAGUGGAGGUAAGCGGAAUUCCUAGUGUAGCGGUGAAAUGCGUAGAUAUUAGGAGGAACAUCAGUGGCGAAGGCGGCUUACUGGGCUUUAACUGACGCUGAGGCCCGAAAGCGUGGGGAGCAAACAGGAUUAGAUACCCUGGUA